This 253-nucleotide ribosomal RNA is filed under the name uncultured bacterium. Its description in RNAcentral is "partial 16S ribosomal RNA". It matches the Rfam family "Bacterial small subunit ribosomal RNA", at positions 524 to 776 of the family's 1533-position model. The record is from RNAcentral.
GACGUAGGGUGCAAGCGUUGUCCGGAUUUAUUGGGCGUAAAGAGCUCGUAGGCGGCUUGUUGCGUCGACUGUGAAAACCCGCGGCUUAACCGCGGGCUUGCAGUUGAUACGGGCAGGCUAGAGUUCGGUAGGGGAGACUGGAAUUCCUGGUGUAGCGGUGAAAUGCGCAGAUAUCGGGAAGAACACCCGUGGCGAAGGCGGCUCUCUGGGACGGUACUGACGCUGAGACGCGAAAGCGUGGGGAGCGAACAGG